This 733-nucleotide ribosomal RNA is filed under the name Leuconostoc lactis. Its description in RNAcentral is "bacterial SSU rRNA". It matches the Rfam family "Bacterial small subunit ribosomal RNA", at positions 48 to 763 of the family's 1533-position model. Lineage: Bacteria; Bacillati; Bacillota; Bacilli; Lactobacillales; Lactobacillaceae. The record is from RNAcentral.
CUAAUACAUGCAAGUCGAACGCGCAGCGAAAGGUGCUUGCACCUUUCAAGCGAGUGGCGAACGGGUGAGUAACACGUGGAUAACCUGCCUCAAGGCUGGGGAUAACAUUUGGAAACAGAUGCUAAUACCGAAUAAAACUUAGUAUCGCAUGAUACAAAGUUGAAAGGCGCUACGGCGUCACCUAGAGAUGGGUCCGCGGUGCAUUAGUUAGUUGGUGGGGUAAAGGCCUACCAAGACAAUGAUGCAUAGCCGAGUUGAGAGACUGAUCGGCCACAUUGGGACUGAGACACGGCCCAAACUCCUACGGGAGGCUGCAGUAGGGAAUCUUCCACAAUGGGCGAAAGCCUGAUGGAGCAACGCCGCGUGUGUGAUGAAGGCUUUAGGGUCGUAAAGCACUGUUGUAUGGGAAGAAAUGCUAGAAUAGGGAAUGAUUCUAGUUCGACGGUACCAUACCAGAAAGGGACGGCUAAAUACGUGCCAGCAGCCGCGGUAAUACGUAUGUCCCGAGCGUUAUCCGGAUUUAUUGGGCGUAAAGCGAGCGCAGACGGUUGAUUAAGUCUGAUGUGAAAGCCCGGAGCUCAACUCCGGAAUGGCAUUGGAAACUGGUUAACUUGAGUGUUGUAGAGGUAAGUGGAACUCCAUGUGUAGCGGUGGAAUGCGUAGAUAUAUGGAAGAACACCAGUGGCGAAGGCGGCUUACUGGACAACAACUGACGUUGAGGCUCGAAAGUGUG